This 998-nucleotide ribosomal RNA is filed under the name Anelosimus rupununi. RNAcentral's name for it is "SSU rRNA". It matches the Rfam family "Eukaryotic small subunit ribosomal RNA", at positions 690 to 1721 of the family's 1831-position model. The record is from RNAcentral. Lineage: Eukaryota; Metazoa; Arthropoda; Arachnida; Araneae; Theridiidae.
UACUGCCUGUUCWGAGCWYWUCCGCCAUUUCCCGUUGAUGAUCUUCAUCGGUUGUCGUCGGGGCAUGGCAAGUUUACUUUGAAAAAAUUAGAGUGCUCAAAGCAUGCGUGACGCAUGAAUAAUGGUGCAUGGAAUAAUGGAAUAGGACCUCGGKUCUAUUUUGUUGGUUUUCGGAACACGAGGUAAUGAUUAAGAGGGACAGACGGGGGCAUUCGUAUUGCGACGCUAGAGGUGAAAUUCUUGGACCGUCGCAAGACGAACUACUGCGAAAGCAUUUGCCAAGAAUGUUUCCAUUAAUCAAGAACGAAAGUUAGAGGUUCGAAGGCGAUCAGAUACCGCCCUAGUUCUAACCAUAAACGAUGCCAGCCAGCGAUCCGGCUGUGUUCCUCAAAUGACACGCCGGGCAGCUUCCGGGAAACCAAAGCUUUUGGGUUCCGGGGGAAGUAUGGUUGCAAAGCUGAAACUUAAAGGAAUUGACGGAAGGGCACCACCAGGAAUGGAGCCUGCGGCUUAAUUUGACUCAACACGGGAAAGCUUACCCGGAUAGGACACAGGAAGGAUUGACAGAUUAAGAGCUCUUUCUUGAUUCUGUGGAAGGUGGUGCAUGGCCAUUCUUAGUUGGUGGAGUGAUUUGUCUGGUUAAUUCCGAUAACGAUCGAGACUCUAGCCUACUAAAUAGACGUUCCGAUCCUUGUUGUCGGACGUUCUUCUUAGAGGGACACGCGGCGUUUAGCCGCACGAGACAGAGCAAUAGUAGGUCUGUGAUGCCCUUAGAUGUCCGGGGCCGCACGCGCGCUACAUUGAAGGAAUCAGCGUGUGCUUUCCCUGCCCGAGUGGGCUGGGUAACCCGUUGAACCUCCUUCGUGCUUGGGAUAGGCGAUUGUAAUUAUCCGCCUUGAACGAGGAAUUCCCAGUAAGCACGAGUCAUCAGCUCGUGUUGAUUACGUCCCUGCCCUUUGUGCACACCGCCCGUCGCUACAUCCGAUGGAAUGAUUUAG